Molecule: ribosomal RNA, 720 nt
Filed under: uncultured Bacteroidales bacterium
Lineage: Bacteria; Pseudomonadati; Bacteroidota; Bacteroidia; Bacteroidales
Description: bacterial SSU rRNA
Rfam family: Bacterial small subunit ribosomal RNA
Source: RNAcentral
GGGGCAGCAUGGUCUUAGCUUGCUAAGGCUUAUGGCGACCGGCGCACGGGUGAGUAACACGUAUCCAACCUGCCGUCUACUCUUGGCCAGCCUUCUGAAAGGAAGAUUAAUCCAGGAUGGGAUCAUGAGUUCACAUGUCCGCAUGAUUAAAGGUAUUUUCCGGUAGACGAUGGGGAUGCGUUCCAUUAGAUAGUAGGCGGGGUAACGGCCCACCUAGUCAACGAUGGAUAGGGGUUCUGAGAGGAAGGUCCCCCACAUUGGAACUGAGACACGGUCCAAACUCCUACGGGAGGCAGCAGUGAGGAAUAUUGGUCAAUGGGCGAUGGCCUGAACCAGCCAAGUAGCGUGAAGGAUGACUGCCCUAUGGGUUGUAAACUUCUUUUAUAAAGGAAUAAAGUCGGGUAUGCAUACCCGUUUGCAUGUACUUUAUGAAUAAGGAUCGGCUAACUCCGUGCCAGCAGCCGCGGUAAUACGGAGGAUCCGAGCGUUAUCCGGAUUUAUUGGGUUUAAAGGGAGCGUAGAUGGAUGUUUAAGUCAGUUGUGAAAGUUUGCGGCUCAACCGUAAAAUUGCAGUUGAUACUGGAUGUCUUGAGUGCAGUUGAGGCAGGCGGAAUUCGUGGUGUAGCGGUGAAAUGCUUAGAUAUCACGAAGAACUCCGAUUGCGAAGGCAGCCUGCUAAGCUGCAACUGACAUUGAGGCUCGAAAGUGUGGGUAUCAAAC